This 248-nucleotide long non-coding RNA is filed under the name Elaeis guineensis (African oil palm). RNAcentral's name for it is "long non-coding RNA (EGUI_LNC073099)". Lineage: Eukaryota; Viridiplantae; Streptophyta; Magnoliopsida; Arecales; Arecaceae. The record is from RNAcentral.
AUGGAUUUCGAACGAGCUUCUACAACGAGACAGGCUCCACCAAUCAGGACACUACUCCGAGCUUCCACAACAACUGAUCCUCAUCCGGGCUCCUACAGUGAGCGGCCUCCUUUCGACCUUCUGCUAGAACCGGACUCCGUUCGAACUUCCACCGUGGAUGGAUUCUGGACGAGCUUCUGCAACAGACGGGCUCCAGCAGCUGGGUCUCUACGAUGGCCAAUCACCUCCGAUGUCUGCCGAACCACCCC